ACUGUUGGGUACAGUACUUUGUGUGCUGCAGUCGCAAGUUCGAACUUUUUUAAGGCGUAGAAGCAAAUGCAUGAAAUGUAUGCUUUAGGAUAGUUGGACAAUCCAUUUUUGCAUAAGACUCUCAAAGAUCUUUUUAUAGGAAGCCCACCAAGAUACCGCAAGCAAGCAAUGUAGUCUUUGUUUCACAUUCAGGAGUCCUUCACUCAAUCAUGCAUCUAUUAUAUUUAAACUGAAUAAACAUUUUUUGUGAUUCUGUCUCACUUUCAAAUUCAAUCUGCUAAAUCUGAUCUGUAAAAGCUUUGCAGAUAGGCCCAAUAUUUCGUAAAUUAUGGAAGUUCAGCAAUUCAGAUGUCUUAAACGAAUGAAAGAAAAGAUCUGAAACAUUUUCCAACAAU
Lingula anatina is the source of this 395-nucleotide long non-coding RNA. NCBI's taxonomy places the organism in Eukaryota, Metazoa, Brachiopoda, Lingulata, Lingulida, Lingulidae. The record is from RefSeq and is a predicted model, not a curated record.